Pelobates cultripes (western spadefoot toad) is the source of this 331-nucleotide non-coding RNA. The record is from the annotation of a GenBank genome assembly. NCBI's taxonomy places the organism in Eukaryota, Metazoa, Chordata, Amphibia, Anura, Pelobatidae.
UUUCACAAGAUUCCCAGUGCCUUUAAAGCUCACAAGCUGUUGUGACCAUAAAGCUCUUUUUUUAGUCUCGUCACUCCAAAUUAGUGUGCCAGAAGCUGUGAGGCGUGUCAAGGUAUUGGGCAUAUUGGGUAACUGGGCUUUUUUUGUGACAGUGGCGUAGUAAAGGCUUCUUUCUGGCAACUCGACCAUGCAGCUCAUUUUUGUUCAAGUAUCGUCGUAUUGUGCUCCUUGAAACAACUACGUCUUUUUUUCCCAGAGCAGCAUGUAUUUCUCCUGAGGUUACCUGUGGGUUUUUCUUUGUAUAGCAAACAAUUCUUCUGGCAGUUGUGGC